GACGAACGCUGGCGGCGUGCUUAACACAUGCAAGUCGAACGGAAAGGCCCUGCUUUUGUGGGGUGCUCGAGUGGCGAACGGGUGAGUAACACGUGAGUAACCUGCCCUUGACUUUGGGAUAACUUCAGGAAACUGGGGCUAAUACCGGAUAGGAGCUCCUGCUGCAUGGUGGGGGUUGGAAAGUUUCGGCGGUUGGGGAUGGACUCGCGGCUUAUCAGCUUGUUGGUGGGGUAGUGGCUUACCAAGGCUUUGACGGGUAGCCGGCCUGAGAGGGUGACCGGCCACAUUGGGACUGAGAUACGGCCCAGACUCAUACGGGAGGCAGCAGUGGGGAAUAUUGCACAAUGGGCGGAAGCCUGAUGCAGCAACGCAGCGUGCGGGAUGACGGACUUCGGGUUGUAAACCGCUUUCGCCUGUGACGAAGCGUGAGUGACGGUAAUGGGUAAAGAAGCACCGGCUAACUACGUG
Molecule: ribosomal RNA, 468 nt
Filed under: uncultured bacterium
Lineage: Bacteria
Description: partial 16S ribosomal RNA
Rfam family: Bacterial small subunit ribosomal RNA
Source: RNAcentral